This is a non-coding RNA of Cricetulus griseus (Chinese hamster), 3425 nucleotides long. The record is from RefSeq and is a predicted model, not a curated record. NCBI's taxonomy places the organism in Eukaryota, Metazoa, Chordata, Mammalia, Rodentia, Cricetidae.
CGAGGCCUGGGAAAGAGAAUGUGAAAGAAGGGAGGAACUGCCAUUAGCACAUGCCUUCCUGGCCUCCCCCACUCCUGACUCAGCCCCUCGACAUGGCUAUUUCAGAUCACUGUGAUGAUGACUUGAAGUUCUUCCUUUUGUUUUUCUGUAACAUACCUUCUCCUGCAUAGUCUGCGUUCUCUGCUCUGCUACAAGCCUCCUGAGAAGUGUCUGCUGUGGACUCUUAAGUAUCACAUGGGAUGGCCACAGUUCACAGUAAGCAGCGGUAAAGGGAAGUCAGCCCCAUCUAUGCCGCUGCACGUGGGCCGUUCUGGACAUUUCUCACUACAAGACUCGUCACCACCCCACUUCACAGCCUGGUAGCCCUAGAGAUCACCGGUCUGCUGAAUCCAAAGCCUGUGUCCUUCCUCCUGCAGGCACAGCCUCUCCCUAGACCCGGAACAUGGUUGAAUGAGAGAAACUACUUCAUGCAGUGGAAGGUUUGCUGUGGGGCAUAGUAGCAUUUACCAUCACUCGUGAGGGUGGCUGGCCACCACACGGCAAGCAGCAUGUAUCACUCUGCACACACACUUCUGUUUUUCUCUUUCCUAGGGGCAUUUCUCAUUUCCUCAGAAGUUACUGAGAACACAAUGUCUGACUCAGGGCAGGUGCUGAGUGAGCAAUUUUGAUUUGGGGAGUCAGACAGGGAAUGGAGGGUGGACAGGCCGACUGUGCCUUUGAUCCUCCUAUGAGGAGGACUCCCACAAAUGCUCCUGCUUGUUCGCAGCUGAGGUGGACUGACACAGAGCUGCCCCCCCCCCCCCCGCAGUGUUUACUUUCUUGCAGUUUUACAUACCACAGCCAUGAGGUGUCCCCGAGUUGGAGGGCGGCGGGAGUGUUGGAUUUUUGCUCUGUCUCGAGUAGGGUGGGCAAGGAAGCUGUCCUCCUCAACGGUGACCUGAAGAAAUGCACUGUGAGUCACAGGUUUUCUUUAGGACUCUGGCCCAGCUGGGCGACCCCUAACUUGCCUGGACUGCAGAAUAAGCCCACCCCACCAAUUAUUUCUGAGCAGGGUCACAGGCAGAAGGGUUUAUGGACACAGAUGCUCCAAGGCUGGCAGGAAGCUGGAGAGGAGGGUGAGCAAAGACUUCAGAGAGAAGAUGGGACAAGGGGGCCUUCAAAGACACAGAGAAAGUAGAGUUGGGGAGAGCUAGAGGGGGCCCCCACACCCCUCCUCCUCUAGUGAGUCACAGCUUGCUUUCUGCUCUAGUGUCCCUUUCCCCACAACAGGCCCCUACCUCAUCCAGGAUACGGUUCUUAGCCCUGGUGAUGGCAGAGCUCAGGGCGUUGAUCCAGGACUCCUUUUCUUCAGGACUCACCGCCAGGAAGAUCAGGUUGGGGGCCUGUGAGGGGAAUGUUUCUUGUUUUAGCUAGGGUUUUACAAAUAAAGAAAGAGAUGUGAUAAUCUCAUCCCUUGCACCCAGCUCCUGGAAAAGAGUGGCUCUGCGUCUGGGAUCAUGAAUGACUGAAAGAAACCCUGAGUCUGUUCCCGCAGAAUGCACAGGUUGUUUUAGACAUAAUCAGGGAUGAGCUAAGAGUGACACUGGAUUUGAACUUGACACUGCAGACAAUUAGGGUAGGUGUGACAAAGCUUAGGUAUUAGAGAUCUUUAAAUGUCUGAAGACACAGAGUGUGACAAGCAUGGCUUGUGUGUGUGUGUGUGUGUGUGUGUGUGUGUGUGUGUGUAAAGGGGGAAAGGGGGCAGAGCCAGUUAGAUAAUAAAAGCCAGAGGGAGAUCAAAUCUGGGGGCUGUUCUGGGCCUUGCAGCUAAGACUACAGCGAGGGAGAGCCUGCAGGGACAUUUCCCCACCUAGCCUGCCAAGCCGGCAGACCUACCGUGGUGCCUGGCUGCUUGCAUCGGGCCAGGGUGAACUUGCUGUGGUUCUUCUUGCUUCUGCUCUUAGAUUUCCGGAGUUCUUCACACUUUUCAUAGUCACUCAGGUCAAACACCUCUUGGAUAUUUUUCUCAUCUUUUACCUAGGGGAGUUUUGGGGUGUGAUAAGGAUAAAAUUACUGUGCUUCUGCAUCUGAAGAAAGGGAAGGGUGACAGAAGGAAGCUAUCUCACCCAAGGCAUAUAACCGGGGAUGGGACUCAGAACUGAGUCUGUGUGGGAUUCUGUUUAACCCCUUUGCCCUACAAGCUACCAUUCCAGUGCCUCCUUCUACCCAUGACCCUCACUCUGUUUCUGAAGGACACGGCUUUACAUGUCCUUAAAGGGACAUGGUGAUAGGCUGAUCCGAUCAUCCCAAGUAAGGAAGAUGCAAGUGGCCAUUAACAGUCCAGGAGAAGGUGAAAAAGGCAGCCAACACCUGGGAAUGGCAAAGGGCUGCUUCUGGCCUCAGGGAAUAUUAUGGUUCACAAGAGUGUUCCUUCCCACCUGCUUUCUCUUCUAAAGGACUUUAUCGGAGACUUUUCCUGAUCAGCAGGCUGGCCACCCUCCUCUACUUGGUUGGGAAUAUGCCUGGAACUAGUUGGUCAUGUUUCCCCGGGGAAAAGUCGAAACUGAGCAAACGUGUCUAAGUAGCCCAAUGUUUCCCUUGGCAGACCUCUACCAGCCUGUAGCUGAUCUGCCCAUCCUUUUCAUUUGCUGAUUACACGUGCUGUGUGGGAGCAAAGGGCAUACACAUCUAUCUCCAUUUGUCUGGCAAGGCUCAGUUCUCUAGGGUUCUUCCCAUUCUAGGGCUCCUGGGCUUUUGGCUGGGAAAUGACCAGAGGCCUUAAACAUUAUGGUGGACGUGGGACCAGGUGCCACAAGGAACAUUCAAGAACAAUUCACAGGAACCCAGGCUGUGACACGGGGCCCUCCUCUCUGGCUCCUUCCCCAAAGAGACUAUCAGCAGAGACCAGAAGGCUUGGAGAGGAAGAGCUGGGAAGCCACCCUGAGGUGUGGAUCUGCUGACUAGAAGACAUCCCAGCCCUUUUAAAGGGUGCCUUUGGAGAGUGGGGAAUGACCAACAGCACACAUGGAAGGGCUUCCUUGCUUUCCCAAGAAAGACUGACAGAAACAAUGCAAUGGGUAGGGACGUUUUCGUCUUUGCAUCAGCAUGUGACCUGCAAAUACUAUGCUCUUGGUUUUAAUGUCGUCAGUCUAUUGGUUUACUGCAGCUUUUGUUUACAGGCAGAAUAAACCGUGUCUUUUGGCAGCUUCACCCUUAGCCCGGGUCCACUGGACCACGGAAUUGGUUCUGAAGAAGGGUCAUAAUAAGGAGCAGUUCCCUCUUUUCCAAUGCCCUCCCCAGUAGGGGGCAUCUGGCUCCAGGACUAGUCAGAUGCUCCUGACUCAGAGGACAGCAGCCACUCUAGGCUGAGGUCAUCCUAUCAUCUCUCUGCUCCGUAGUUCUUCUUUGACAUAAAGCUUAUUAGCCAAUUAAUCCUGCACCUUUGU